This 293-nucleotide non-coding RNA is filed under the name Staphylococcus aureus. It matches the Rfam family "S. aureus tsr24 small RNA". Lineage: Bacteria; Bacillati; Bacillota; Bacilli; Caryophanales; Staphylococcaceae. The record is from RNAcentral.
AGGUCAUAGGAUAAAACAAAUUGAGAAUUUGUCGCUAUUUGUAAAUUGUAUCCUGACUUAAGUUGGGCAAAGUGUCUUAUUUUUUUAAAGUAUUUAAAAGUAAAAUUACAUGUUAAUACGUAGUAUUAAUGGCGAGACUCCUGAGGGAGCAGUGCCAGUCGAAGACAGGGGCCCCAACACAGAAGCUGACAUAUAGUCAGCUUACAACAAUGUGCCGGUUGGGGUGGCUGAGACGGCCCCCUAGGAAAGCGAAGCCAUUCAAUACGAAGUAUUGUAUAAAUAGAGAACAGCAG